This 253-nucleotide ribosomal RNA is filed under the name uncultured bacterium. Its description in RNAcentral is "partial 16S ribosomal RNA". It matches the Rfam family "Bacterial small subunit ribosomal RNA", at positions 524 to 776 of the family's 1533-position model. The record is from RNAcentral.
UACGGAGGGAGCUAGCGUUGUUCGGAAUUACUGGGCGUAAAGCGUACGUAGGCGGCUAUUCAAGUCAGAGGUGAAAGCCCGGGGCUCAACCCCGGAACUGCCUUUGAAACUAGGUAGCUAGAGUCUUGGAGAGGUUAGUGGAAUUCCGAGUGUAGAGGUGAAAUUCGUAGAUAUUCGGAAGAACACCAGUGGCGAAGGCGACUCACUGGACAUGUAUUGACGCUGAGGUGCGAAAGCGUGGGGAGCAAACAGG